RNAcentral lists this transfer RNA (72 nucleotides) under Marmota monax (woodchuck). RNAcentral's name for it is "tRNA.Ala". Lineage: Eukaryota; Metazoa; Chordata; Mammalia; Rodentia; Sciuridae. The record is from RNAcentral.
UGGGUUGUGGCUCAGUGGUGGAGUACUCUCCCAGCACGUGUGAUGCACUGGGUUCAAUUCUCAGUACCAUAG